AAAAAUUCCAAGGAGGACAAAGAAUUUCACAGCUAUGAGUACUUGUAGAACAGGUAGAAGUGAAACGUGAGAAAGAACGUGAAAAGGAAUAAUAAUGAAUAGCAAACAAUGAAACCCAUUGUCAAGAACAGUGGAAGCAAGGGGGCUAAAGGGGUUAUAGACCCCCCCAUUAUUUUCCAAAAUGUACUUAAAAGCAUACAAAACUUUUUGGCAUGUUUAUCCCCUCUAUACGUUUUAGCUCCUUAAUCCGAAAUAUGCUCCGCGUUCCUUGCCCAUGGUGAAUCAAUUAAAGGAUAAUCGCCCCUCCUGAAAUUAACUUUGAUUAAGUUAAAUCGAGUCAUCCCCAUUUAUGCAUACUGGGAAGGAAAAAUAGUUAAGGAUGGAAAAUAAAACGGCCCAACUCGCUCUUGAUGAUGUGGGAGCGUUGCUUCACGGCUGAUUUGAUAUCUAUGGGAAUUUUACCUCUGAGGGAGCAUUUCUUGCCUUAAAACUUGUAUCUUAACACAGGGUUGUCGUUCUAAAAAUGUGGAAUCCUUCAGACUAGUCAAUCACUCUAAAAAGCUAAUAGAACUUGCUAAAUCAUGAAAAAUCAAUGGAAAAAUAAAGGGAUAAUUCCCUUUCCAAGUAAGGAAUUCACCAACCCAUUCAUAUACUAGCUUGUUAAGGGGGCUUACCCCCCAAAGCUUUCUGAAUUUCAACAAGGGGGCUGAGCCUCUCUAAUCCCUUUCAGGGCACAAUUUUUGUAGCUUCUAUCCCAGUCUAUAAAACUUAUAAUAGAUCUGCAUUUAUUUAGGAACUCACAACUGCCACCAAUGCCCCAUUUGUUCGUAGCCUUCGCUUGAUUACGAGGCAACUGGCCUAAUUUCUCCAGCGAGAGGAUCAUUCGUAAACAGUGCACAGCGUAUCAGAAACUUUUUGGGGUUUGAAACAUGUCUCUUGUCCCUGUUUUCUUAAUUACAGUAAGAAACAGUUUGAGAAUACUUGGAAAAGCAAUUAUUGUUGGUGGUGCAGUAUUUUUUAGUUACGAUCAAGGAAUAUGGAGUACACAAACCGAUCACAACGAAAAACAUGUUAAACUUGUCAAGAAACACGCGGAAGAUAAUCUUUUAGAUCAUAUUCCAUUUCACAAGCUUCCAACAGCUGAUGAUAUAAAAGUCUCCUGGAAUGACGGUAUGCACAGAAUAUUUACAACACUAGACGAAGCACCUAAGCAUGUUAUCAAUCUGACAGAAGAGGUAAAGAAAUUUAUAAAGACUCCACCUAAAGAUGAAUGAUUAUGAAAGAAUACAUUUUUAGUAUUUCCUUCUGAAAUUGUAUUCUUGAAGAUUUGGUGCUUGUCAAACUGGCUUUUGUAAAAAUAAUUAAAAUAGUUUCAGCAGAGGGUAAUUUUUACAUACAGUUUAAAAAAAUGCAACUAACAAUUAUUUUGAGCCGGUCAUAUAACAAUUUUCAAUUAAAUUAGAUCUUCCUCAUAAACCCCAAACAAAAGCUUUCCUGUUGUUAACAACUUUUGAGGGACUGACUAAAUUUGACAGCUGUGGAUGUCAAAUUGUCCUUUCUUGGACAGAUUCAGAAACUGUUGCUUUUUUUUAAGUAUUAGUAAGGUUAGCUUCAGGGACUAAGUCUGAAAAAACAUCUUUGUUUUGCCAUGUCCCUGUAAGCAUACAAAAUUUUGCAUUGCCAAUAGGUUCUGAUUGGUCAAUAGCUUAUGUUGGACUUUCAUGCCAUCCAUCUUGAAAGUUAUCACAGAGGAAGAAUCUACCAUUUUUUUAGCACGAGUCACUAAAUAUUUGCAUCCCUUGGUAUAUUUCAAUUUUCUUGGUAUUUCUACUUUUUAUUUUCAUACUUUUCAAUUAAAUAUGUCUUAAUUGUCUGAGUUACAAGUUAUGUUUUGUUCAAUGAUCCAUAAAUAACUUAAAAUGAUUGUUCUGUUACAUGAUAACCUAUGUAUUGUUUGUUUUAUUUCUUAAACAGAAUUUGUAAUUUGUUUAGUUGUAAAAUUCUAUUUGACAUACAAUUUGCUUGAGGAUUAUUUUUCAAUCAAAUAUGUUGGAAAAUUCACAA
Molecule: non-coding RNA, 2064 nt
Organism: Rhopilema esculentum
Lineage: Eukaryota; Metazoa; Cnidaria; Scyphozoa; Rhizostomeae; Rhizostomatidae
Source: RefSeq, a predicted model, not a curated record